AAAUAUAUGAGUUUGAUCCUGGCUCAGGAUGAACGCUAAUAGUAUGCAUGACACAUGCAAGUUUAACAUUAAUUUAGAUGUAGCAAACGGGUGAGGAAUUUAUAAAGCUAUUUUACCUUUUAGUCUUGGAAAAAAACUUUUAAAUUUAUAGUAAGAUUUAUCCGGCGUUCCACUCAUGCAUAUAUUUGUGUAAUGGUUACCACAAUAUAAUUCGUCGAGUACAGUAGCUAUAGCUACGUUUAGAGUGUUACUCUUUGUGUGGUUAUUAGAACCUGGUGCAUAGAUUGCACUGGAUGUUUAAGUACAUCGAGGCGGCCUACCAAUUCUAGGAUUUUAUAAUCCUUAAAAAGAUGUAUAAAAACUAGAAUUUAUCUAAUAUGUCUUUGAUAAAUAGCAAAAUAAAAUACAAGAUAAAAAAAUUUACAACAAAAUUUCGAAAAAAUACAUAAUUAAAAAGAGUAUUUUGAAAGACAUAAUACUACAAUAUAGUAUAGUAAAUUUAAAAAGAUAAUAAAAAAUAGAUAAUAAUAUAAAAUUCGCUAAAAGAUAACUUUAUAAAAAAUUAGGUAGUUGGUAACGGCUAAAAGCUUACCAAGCCUUUGAUUUUUAGUUGAUCUGAGAGGAUGAUCAACCACACUGGAACUGAAAAAGGUCCAGGCCACUGAGGCCAGCAGUGCGGAAUAUUGGACAAUGAACGAAAGUUUGAUCCAGCAAUACUAUAUGAACGAUGACAGCUGAUUAUUAGAGUUAGAUAGCCGACAAUAUAACCCUAUUUAGCUCUGGUUGUAAAAAUUCUUUCAUUAAAGAUGAUAAUGCCAUUAUUUAAAGAAGAUUUAGUCCCGGCUAAUCUCGUGCCAGCAGCCGCGGUAAUACGGGAGGGGCAAGCGUUAUCCAAAAUGACUGGGCGUAAAGAGUCCGUAGACUGUAAAAUAAGUUAUUUGUUAAAUUCUAAGAUUAACCUUAAAAAGGCAUUUAAAACUGUUUUACUUUUGAGUUUUAUACAGAAGAGUUGAAUUUCAUGUUGAGGAUUAAUCUCUAAAGAAAUAUGAAGGAAUACCAUUAAUAGCGAAGGCGACUCUUUAGUAAAAACUGACGUUGAGGGACGAAAGUAUAGGGAGCAAACAGGAUUAGAUACCCUGGUAGUCUAUACCUUAAAUUCUGAAUGCUGUAAUUCUAAAAUUAAAAUUUUUGGAUUUUUUAAGUUAACACCAUAAGCAUUCCGCCUGAGGAGUACGAUCGCAAGGUUGGAACUCAAAGGAAUUGACGGGGACCUACAACAAGUGGUGGAGCAUGUGGUUUAAUGCGAUAAUCCGCGCAAAACCUUACCAAUCCUUGACAUAAAGAAAAAACAGCUAUUUAGCUUUUUUGUAAUAUUUCAAUAGCCUAUAAUUGUUAUACCAAAUUUAAAAUUUUUUUACAGGUGUUGCACGACUGUCGUCAGCUCGUGUCGUAAGAUGUUUGGUUAAUUCCUUUAACGAGCGAAACUCUUAUUUUUAGCUAAACGAUAUAUAAAUCUAUAGAUUUAUAUAUUACAUGAUUGCUACAAAUUUUUAAAAUAAAUUUUUAAAAAAACAGUCAAUGAUAAGUUGAAGGAAGGUAAGAAUCAAGUCAAGUCCCUGUGGCCCUUAUGGAUUGGGCUACACACGUGCUACAAUGAAAAUCCCAAUAAGUUUACUUCGAAUUUAAUAACCUAGUAAAUCCUUAAUAAUUUUUUUGGUACGGAUUGUAAGCUGCAACUCGUUUACAUGAAGAUGGAAUCACUAGUAAUCGCAAAUCAGAAUGUUGCGGUGAAUACGUGCCUUGGUCUUGUACACACCGCCCGUCACAUGCAGAAAAUUGAUUUUGCUUGAAGAUCAAACUUUAUAUUUAAAACACCUAAAAACCUAUAGGUUAGUUUACAAAUAUACAAGUUUAUCCAUUGAAAAGUUAAUAAUUUGGAUGAAGUCGUAACAAGGUAGCUGUAUAGGAAUAUGUAGCUGGAAAAUAUAAGUU
RNAcentral lists this ribosomal RNA (1992 nucleotides) under Odontella aurita. RNAcentral's name for it is "small subunit ribosomal RNA". It matches the Rfam family "Bacterial small subunit ribosomal RNA". The record is from RNAcentral. Lineage: Eukaryota; Bacillariophyta; Thalassiosirophyceae; Eupodiscales; Odontellaceae.